This 483-nucleotide ribosomal RNA is filed under the name uncultured bacterium. RNAcentral describes it as "bacterial SSU rRNA". It matches the Rfam family "Bacterial small subunit ribosomal RNA", at positions 30 to 509 of the family's 1533-position model. The record is from RNAcentral.
AUUGAACGCUGGCGGCAUGCCUUACACAUGCAAGUCGAACGGUAACAGCACUUCGGUGGCUGACGAGUGGCGAACGGGUGAGUAAUACAUCGGAACGUGCCCGAGAGUGGGGGAUAACGCAGCGAAAGCUGUGCUAAUACCGCAUACGAUCUACGGAUGAAAGCAGGGGACCGCAAGGCCUUGCGCUCAUGGAGCGGCCGAUGGCAGAUUAGGUAGUUGGUGGGAUAAAAGCUUACCAAGCCGACGAUCUGUAGCUGGUCUGAGAGGACGACCAGCCACACUGGGACUGAGACACGGCCCAGACUCCUACGGGAGGCAGCAGUGGGGAAUUUUGGACAAUGGGCGAAAGCCUGAUCCAGCCAUGCCGCGUGCAGGAUGAAGGCCUUCGGGUUGUAAACUGCUUUUGUACGGAACGAAAAGCUCUCUCUAAUACAGGGGUGAAGUGACGGUACCGUAAGAAUAAGCACCGGCUAACUACGUGCC